AGAGUUUGAUCCUGGCUCAGGAUGAACGCUAGCGACAGGCUUAACACAUGCAAGUCGAGGGGCAGCGGGGAGCGAAGCUUGCUUUGCUCCGCCGGCGACCGGCGCACGGGUGAGUAACACGUAUGCAACCUGCCCGUCACAGGGGGAUAACCCGGAGAAAUCCGGACUAAUACCGCGUGAUACCCCGAGGGGACAUCCCCUUGGGGUCAAAGGAAGCAAUUCCGGUGACGGAUGGGCAUGCGGCGCAUUAGCUGGUUGGCGGGGUAACGGCCCACCAAGGCGACGAUGCGUAGGGGUUCUGAGAGGAAGGUCCCCCACACUGGUACUGAGACACGGACCAGACUCCUACGGGAGGCAGCAGUGAGGAAUAUUGGUCAAUGGGCGCGAGCCUGAACCAGCCAAGUCGCGUGAGGGAAGACGGUCCUAUGGAUUGUAAACCUCUUUUGUCGGGGAGCAAUGGUCUUCACGUGUGAAGGCUGUGAGAGUACCCGAAGAAAAAGCAUCGGCUAACUCCGUG
This 517-nucleotide ribosomal RNA is filed under the name uncultured Porphyromonadaceae bacterium. Its description in RNAcentral is "bacterial SSU rRNA". It matches the Rfam family "Bacterial small subunit ribosomal RNA", at positions 8 to 507 of the family's 1533-position model. Lineage: Bacteria; Pseudomonadati; Bacteroidota; Bacteroidia; Bacteroidales; Porphyromonadaceae. The record is from RNAcentral.